Molecule: ribosomal RNA, 253 nt
Filed under: uncultured bacterium
Lineage: Bacteria
Description: partial 16S ribosomal RNA
Rfam family: Bacterial small subunit ribosomal RNA
Source: RNAcentral
UACGUAGGGACCAAGCGUUGUUCGGAUUUACUGGGCGUAAAGGGUGCGUAGGCGGCUUGUCAAGUCAGUUGUGAAAUCUCCGAGCUUAACUCGGAACGGUCAACUGAUACUGUCAUGCUAGAGUGCAGAAGGGGCAAUCGGAAUUCUUGGUGUAGCGGUGAAAUGCGUAGAUAUCAAGAGGAACACCUGAGGUGAAGACGGGUUGCUGGGCUGACACUGACGCUGAAGCACGAAAGCUAGGGUAGCAAACGGG